UACGGGGGGGGCAAGCGUUGUUCGGAAUUACUGGGCGUAAAGCGCGUGUAGGCGGCUUUGCAAGUCGGAUGUGAAAGCCCACGGCUCAACCGUGGAAGUGCAUCCGAAACUGCAUGGCUGGAGUCUCGGAGAGGAAGGUGGAAUGCUUGGUGUAGAGGUGAAAUUCGUAGAUAUCAAGCAGAACACCUGCGGCGAAGGCGGCCUUCUGGACGAUGACUGACGCUGAGACGCGAAAGCGUGGGGAGCAAACAGG
RNAcentral lists this ribosomal RNA (253 nucleotides) under uncultured bacterium. RNAcentral describes it as "partial 16S ribosomal RNA". It matches the Rfam family "Bacterial small subunit ribosomal RNA", at positions 524 to 776 of the family's 1533-position model. The record is from RNAcentral.